This is a non-coding RNA of Microcebus murinus (gray mouse lemur), 2168 nucleotides long. The record is from RefSeq and is a predicted model, not a curated record. NCBI's taxonomy places the organism in Eukaryota, Metazoa, Chordata, Mammalia, Primates, Cheirogaleidae.
UCGAGGCUUGCUUGAGUGUGGGCUCUUCCCGUCCCCUUCCGCCACCCGCUUUCCUUCCCGGGCGCUGCCCGCCUCCAACGGCCAGGAAAUGCGCUGAUCCGCUCUGGCUGCUGUUCCUUGCGCGGUUCCCCCCAGGAGGACACAUUUCGUGAGGGCAAAAACCUUUGUUCUCUUCAUUAAUUUAUCCGCCGAGCACCUAGGACAGGGCCGAGCUCAUGGAUGCUCCAUAAACGCAGACAAAAAAUUAAUUGUAUAUGCUAGUGUCCCGAACCUUAUUUCCUAAUUACCUUCUCUAACGGGGCAGUUAGAUGAAAACCAGUUGUCUCUCCUGCCGCGCUGUGUCUAGAAGGAGCACAGGACAUGCGAGUCCAGGAGGACAGGAACCAUAUCUGGCUUUCUCAGCACUGUAUACCCAGCACCGAGUUGUGACACAUAGUAGGCAACCGUUACAUUGCUUCUGAGCAGAGUGCGGUUAUUUCUACAGUGAACAAUCCUAAAACUCCUUUCUCGCUGAUCCCACACUGAAGGAGCAUUCCUGCCCAGCCACCUUUCUUCUAGCUGCCAUCUUCGAAGGGCUCUGCUAAUCGCGGGUGAGUAUUAACAGCACAGCGGUGUCCCACAGACGGAGACGGGUUGGUGACCUGCUUACUGUGCACGCUCCUCUGCUGUUACCAGGGGCAGGCGGGAGUUAUGAGAACAUCGACGGCCACAGUCGGCCCUGAGGAAACCAGGGCAGCAGAGUUCCCCAACUGUCCUCUGUUGGGUUUGGAAACAUCCUCUGCCCUCUCUCCGGAGGUUUGCCAAGUGGUGGGCCUCUUGUCUUCAGGGCCCUUUUUGUCCUAAAACUCACCAGGUCCUUCUUACCAUCUGGCCGCCCUGUGUACCCCGACAUUCAUUCCCGCUUCCUUCUUGGGAGGUUUGCUACCAAGCAUCUAGAAUUGCACAACACACAAACUUGGAGCAGGUUCAACUCUUUAACUAGUUUCGGUUGUUUUAUGAUCAAUACCUCUUGCCUCAGGCUCCAAAGGAAAAUUACAGCGCAAUCAGCUCUGUGUUUUUAUAAACUGUGUCUGGCUUGCCUCUGCCUUUGAUCCGUUCUCAUGGAGCACAGUGACGGGGUGUGGCGACCGCUAUGUAAGCACACGGAAGACAGCAGAGGACGGGUCGUGCUCCGCCAGUGACCACACAGAAGGCCUUGUUCCCAGGCUCGCCUAUGUUGUCCUGUGGUUAUCAGGAGCCGGGACCUCAGCCUUUCGCCCAUGCACCUGCCGAUCCCUGUGCUCCUGAGCGCUGCGUCGCUUUGCUCUGCCACACCUUGCAGUGUGAGGGAGGAGAGGAGAGGAAGUGGCUGGGGCCCAGCAAUGGAGACUUAACUACUCUGAAGACGCAGAGACCUUAAGCAGGUGCUUUUCCCAGUUGAAACAUGAAAUUCCAAGAAAAGAGAGGGCUUCUGUAACCUUCACAAAGGGAGUUAAAACCACACGGCUCGGGGAGGCUGUGUGGCUUGCUCAGGCCCAGGGCAGCUAGCAGGUGGCAGGGAAGAGGUGCAGCCUGCCGUGCCAGAUGCCGACAUGCCACCCGCUGCGCUGCACUGCGCUGCCCACGGUGGCCAGAGUGAGCAAGAGGCCGAAAUGGGGCCACUGAGCACAUGGCAGCACCAGAGCGCCAGAGCAGAGCAAGGCCCCUCUUCGAGCCUGAGCUACGGGGAGGGCAAGAGGAGAGAGCAGGGGGCACGCUGGGGCCGGUGCCCAGGCUCCCGCGUCAGCGGCGCUGGCCGUCCUCUGGGCUUCUGCACGCUCCACCCGAGCCUCUCUGAGCUCAGCCCAGCACCACGGCGCUGCCAGAAGCGUGGCUCUCCCGGCGUUUCCUAGCAACACACUCUGGAAAGUCAGUUCCUGGACUCUGGAGAAACACUGCCUUGGAGACCCUGACAGGUGGCCAGCUGAACUGCCGUGUGCCGGAGACCGAGCCUUCCCCGCCCCCGCUGCGUCUCAAAUCCCACGCGAGGAUGGCGGUGUGCAGGGCUGUUCUCCUGCUGGAAUCUGCGCCCUGACCUAAACCACUGCACUGAAUGGCUUUGGCAAAAUAGAGAUGUCUCUGUACAGGAUUUUAAGAAUAAAGAGAAAUUCUUUUUCCUUCAAAUCACUGAUUUAAAGAGGAGUGAUCAU